AGCAUCAAUGUCUCUGUGGCUAUUGCGGCAGUUGAGAUGGGACAGUUCACCUCACAAUCACACCCCAGCAGUUCAGAAACUAUCCGAGGGUAUCACAAACCUUUUAAAAUGAACUGAUCCUCCAGCAUCAAAGUCAGAGGGAGAUUUUGCUCAGGCUUCUGCAGGAACAUCGUCAAGGCCUGGAUUUUGAUUUGGGAACUACCAGACUUUCCAAAAUGUAUUCCAAAGAAAUGCAGAGAUAGAUUCCCGACCGGCAUUAAUCAGUGCUGAUUAAGUCAUGGAGCUACGCAAUUUCUGCCUGGCAAGUGGACCAUUUGCUCCUCAUCCUGUGACUCAGAUCACAGUGACAGAUACCUGGCACCCUAGAUGGGUUCCCUCCAACCCAGGAGAGGAGCGUUUAUUGCUCUUACCCAAAC
Molecule: long non-coding RNA, 416 nt
Filed under: Coturnix japonica (Japanese quail)
Lineage: Eukaryota; Metazoa; Chordata; Aves; Galliformes; Phasianidae
Description: lncRNA (ENSCJPG00005018165.1)
Source: RNAcentral